AUUCCAGCUCCAAUAGCGUAUAUUAAAGUUGUUGCAGUUAAAAAGCUCGUAGUUGGAUUUCUGGCUGGAGCGAUCGGUCCGCCCCGCAAGGGGUGUGUACUAGCGUCGUCUCCGACCAUCCUUGUGGGAACUGUGCGGCCGUUAACUCGGUUGUAUAUGGGAACACAUCGUUUACUGUGAAAAAAUUAGAGUGUUUAAAGCAGGCUUAAGCCGUUGAAUACAUUAGCAUGGAAUAAUAAGAUAGGACUUGGGUCAUUAUUUUGUUGGUUUGCGGAUCGAGGUAAUGAUUAAUAGGGAUAGUUGGGGGUAUUCAUAUUUAAUUGUCGGAGGUGAAAUUCUUGGAUUUAUGAAAGAUGAACUUAGGCGAAAGCAUUUACCAAGGAUGUUUUCAUUA
This 394-nucleotide ribosomal RNA is filed under the name Stramenopiles sp. MAST-1A. Its description in RNAcentral is "partial small subunit ribosomal RNA". It matches the Rfam family "Eukaryotic small subunit ribosomal RNA", at positions 582 to 975 of the family's 1831-position model. The record is from RNAcentral.